Aquila chrysaetos chrysaetos is the source of this 7022-nucleotide long non-coding RNA. RefSeq lists it as uncharacterized. The record is from RefSeq and is a predicted model, not a curated record. The transcript is spliced from 3 exons. Lineage: Eukaryota; Metazoa; Chordata; Aves; Accipitriformes; Accipitridae.
CACAUCCAUGUAGCAAGAAGUAUCGUGGGUUGUAAAAUACCUCUGCGUCCUAGAUUUUAAAGUGCUGUUAAAUUGCUUUACAGCAUCAGCUUUGGCUUCAUUGUUGGUAGCAAAGUACUGAAUGAGGUGUUUGAGCAUUUUGUUUGAAGACUUGUUUACAAUUUUUUUUGGUCCUAAUGGCACCAUAAUUCUGAGACAUGCAAAAAAGGGGCCUGCCUAAGUAGUGGCAACUCAGUCUUCCAUCUUGUCAUUUAGCUGAAGAGCUUGGCUUAGGCAUAUUUAGACAGAGCUGCUACUGCUGCUGUGAUGGUCUGAGAACUGGCCAACCCAGCCUGCUGUUGUACAUCCGUAUCUGAAACAGUAGUUCUGUUUCUCUUCAAAUUUAUUUGUGCCAUCCAGGGACAAAGCUGUGAGAGCCCUGCUCCUGCCUGUCAUUUUUCAACACCUUAGUUUGUUUUUGGUUUCUUGGAAAAGAGCACUUGCCCUUCCAGCAAUAUCAGGUUUGUAAUACAUUUUCUUUAGCAGUGACACGUUUAACCUUUCUCAGAACCAUUGCUAUUAUAAAUAUAUGGUGCCUUUCAAAUAUACAGUAAAAAUCACCCUAUAAAACAUGAUUUAUUAACCAUGUGUGGAGGCCCAAUAUUUUACAAUAGUAUUUUACUCUCUAGUUAUCCAGACCUCUUCUCAUCUGGGCAAGAACUGCACUUGGCUGCAUACAACACAGUUGGGGCAUAAGGGUCAACACUUGGCUCUCAGCAACCCAGAGGCCAAAAAUCUGCCAGGCACAGGAACAGAAACUUAGGUCCUCCUAAGAAAGCAAGGGCCGAGACCUUCUGAAGAUUGUUACCUUUCAGGUACAAAAGAAGAGUGCCAGCUGCUGGGUGGCAUCUGUACAACCUGACUCUGUUAGGGGGGCUGUUAAUGGGGACAGGUGUGACCUGCAGACGGGACGGCGUGGCUUGGUUGUGCACCAGAUGCUGUGCACACACCUGGAGGGCUGUGUGGCUUUGCUGGGAAACAGUGUGAUGUCCUGAGUAAAACACAGAGCUGGGCACUGGGAAUCCUGCAUGGUCCACCAGACCUUGCCUAAAUGAGAAUUUCUCAAGAGAGAAGGAAGCGCAUUCAAUGCAGAGUGGAUUUAAGUCUGGUUUCCAAAGGAAACAAAGCUUGUCCAAGCACAGCAUUUUUAUCUGUCCGUGUUUUCUGUCACUUUAUCAGCUAUUCCCUCAUCAUUUGUCAACUCAUUUACCAAUUUAACCAGAUUUGACUGGGGGAGGGUGGUGCAGAGGAUAUGAAGUCACUGCAGUUUUUGGUGGAUGGGUCACUGGGUGACAUAAUGAUAGUACUUCUGAUAGAUCUAAAUGAGUGCCACCACCGAGGGAAAGGCUUACAUUUUGCUACUAGUCAUUGGCCACUGAUACAUUAGCUGUACAGCCCAGCUCAAACCACCCCCAGCAGAUGUGUUUUCUAGCCCAGCAAGGAAGGAAGGAAAGGCUAGAAAAACAGCACAAAAGAGGAGGGAGCAAAGGGUGCUGUAAGGGACGUCAAGAGGUAUGAAGGAGUUAGAAGGAGCAUAUGGGAAGAGAAAGGAAUGGGAAUUAUGUGACAAUGGGAAACCCAGCUUCAUUAGUUGUGCUCUCACAGAGGUGCUUGCUGUUUCUGUCAGUGGCCUUUGGGGUGCCGUUUCAGCUGACAGAAGUUGCUAUGUUUGCAGAAGAAAGGAAGAGGAUCAAAUAACUUAGAUUUAUUUUCUAUUUGUCCUGAUCCACAUUCUGGCAUCUGCAAAUAUAGGUUUUGCUUUAGGCUGUUUUUCCUGCCCUCAUUUUCCUUUUAUGAAGGUCUGCAGAGUAACAGAGACACUUCACUUGCUGUCAGUCUUUUCCAGGGAAUUUUCCUCCUGCUUCCUUGCUCUGAAAUGUCACUAUGUCCAUUUUUUGGUAUCUGUGCUACCUCCUAUCAUUUUCCACCAGGUGUUUUUUGUGUGUCUGUUUCUUUUUUCUGUCUCUCUUCUCCUUUCCUAUAUUCUGUUGUUCCUUCAUUUCACACUUGCCUUUUUUCUGCCUCUUGUCUUCCUGCCAGUUCCAUUUUGAAAUGCCUCUCUUCUCCUACCAACUAGAAGGGCAGGUCCAAAUAGAUCAGGCUGCCAAACUGGCUUUUGAAUUUCUCUAAGGAUGGAGAGUCUCCAACAUCUCUGGGCAAUCUGCUCCAGUAUCUGAACCCCCUCAUGGUGGUAUUUUUCUUCCUUAAAUCUAAGCAGAACUUCCCACGUCACAACUUUGUCCAUUGCCUCUCAUCCUGUCGCUGUGCACCUCCAAGAAGAUUUUGGCUCUGGCUUCUCUAUAUCCUCCAACCAGAAUAGUUGCAGCCAGCACUGAAGUGACCCCUGAGCCUUCUUUUCUCCAGGCUGCACAGACGUGGCUCGCUCAGCCUCUCUUUGUGGCACCUCUCAAGGGUGCUCGAGGUGGCUCCUGACCAUCUUGGUAGUCCUGCAUUGGACUUGCUAGGUAUGGCUAUGUUUUUCUUGCAAUGGGGAGAUCAAAAUUGGACACAGUACCCAGAUGUGGCCUUACAGGUAUUGUAUAGAGGGGAAGGAUCACACCCGCUGGCAAGGCUCUUCCUAAUUCAGCCCGGGAGUCUGUUGGCUGCCUUUGCUGCAAGGACACACUGCUGGCUCACGGUCAGUUUGUCCACCAGGACCCCCAGGGCCUUUUCUGCAGAGCCGCUUCCCAGCCGGUCGGCCCCAGGCUCUGCUGGUGCAUGGGCUUACCUGCAUUUGCUUUUGUUGAACUUCCUGAUGGCUCACUUCUCCAGCCUGCGCAGCUCCCUCUGAAUGCCAGCCCUGUCCUCCUGCAGGGACUGUGCUACCACGAGUAACUCAGCAGCAGCUUGAUUUUGGACCAGGUAUCUUACUCCUUUCAGCAUAGUGACCCGGACGAUUUUCCAUUCAACUUACGGUCUGCUUAUCGAGGCCAUAUCUCAUCAGUUUUGCUGUAAGGCUGCUCCAGAGGACCAUGUUGAAAGCUUUACUACAGUCAAGGAAACAGCAUCAACCACACUCUCCUUCCACAGAAGCUAGUCACUGCGUCAUAGGCAGCAAUCAUAGACGUGGUCAGGCUUUGGCAAGUCCAUGCUGGCUGUUUCUAAUCACCUUUUUGUUCGUGUGCUGGGAUUUGCUUCGCAGCCUUCCCAGGGAUGGAGGUUGGCUGACUGAGCUGUCUGUCCCCGGAUCAUCCUUCUUGAAGAUGAGUGUGACACUUGUCUUUUUCCAGUCACCAGGAACCUCCCCGAUCUCCAAGACAUUUGAAGAGAAGAAAGUGGCUUUCAUUUGGAAGGAACUCCAGUGCUGAGACAUCCAGGAGCUCCUAAUCAUUAGGACCUACAACCAAGGUUUUUAGGUUUUUCUCCAGCUUCAUCUAAAGACUUGCACCCUCCAAAAAAGCACUGCUCUUAUAUGGCAAUGCAACUCACACAGAUGUCAUACAUCACCAUGCACUACCACUGAGAGUCCGUAGGUAAGUUAGAGACUGCAUUAGUGCAUAUCUACUGCCUUGUACUGAGAGCGCCAUAAAUGCAAAAGGUAAGAGUUGUGACAGAUUAUGUUUGGGAAGUGCUGCCUUGGGUGUGAAUUAGUCUUUAAUAAUGUUUCUAUUGUUUUUUUAGGGAUAAAUUUGACUUUUCUUGUUGACACAAAAAUCUGCCCACUUUGUGGGAGCAUGAGGCACCCACAACCCCUCCUCUCCUGGUGCCUCCAGGAGGAGGAACAGCCCUGGCAGUGAAUAACAGAGGAGCCUCUCUGCAACACAGCGCUGGUUGCACGUGCAGGAGGUGCUGCUGCAGAUGGGUGUGUUAUGGUCCCUUCUCCUCCUCACGGACUCGGGAGAGAAGAAAGGAUAACAACAGUGAACUGCAGAGCUCCUGUGAAGAUACCACAUGUCUUCUGCCAGCUGUCAUGGUAGCCUUUGCUUAAAAGAAGACCUCGCUUCCAGUUCCUCAGACUCCCUCACUUCUGCAGGUGUUUCCAAACCAUCUACAUACUCUCCCCAUUUGGUUUCAGUGAGCAGUGAUUCCCUGAGGGGUCCCAGGGUCCACAUGCACUCUGCACUGCUCUAAUGUACUCCAGCAUCUCCCCAGCUGUCACUGGCUGCUGCAAAACAGCUCCUCCUCGCACAGCUUUCCACCUGGCCUGAGUGUCCUCAUACUGCGAAGCAUCACAGCUGGAUGGAUACAGGCACUGCGGAGAGAGGUGAGGGAGCACGAGGGCGGUUGAUGCCCUAACACAGGUAGGAAUCGCUCUACAACAGCCCGCCCUUCCCUGGGCUUCAGCAAUAGGCACAGACCACAUGCAUGCACCUCCUGCAGAAGGCAUGCGGAGCACUGUGGGCAUGCACACGCCUCCGUGCUGACUCCUUCCCCCUGGCCUGGGUUUUGUUUUCUCGUCUCUUGUGCGGCUUGUCUUCAUGUCGGGUGUUGUGGCGAGAGAAGUUGGACCUUUUGUAGAAGACAUCUCCUGAGAAAGCACGUGGCUCCGUGGUGUCACCAUAGGGCAUCAGGCAACACAGUAUGGCAGGCUCGGGAUUGCUCUUGCCUUUUGCUGUAAGUUCCUCUUCUGUCCAGCAGUGUAGGUGUGCAUUCACCCCUCCUCCUCUCGCUCUGUUCCCCCAUAGGCCAGAUGUCCUCUCCUCCCUUCUGAGACCCACUCCUUUUUGCUGUGCUCCAGGUGAACCAUAUCACUUUGGGGAUGAAGGGGCCACAGGGUGGGUCCUGCCACCCGCAGUCACAGGGCGAAGUCGCCUGUGUACCCAGAGAGACCCAGUCUGCCAUGCUGCUGUAGCAGAGCACAGAGGAUAGUCAGCAAGCUCAGGGGAGAUGACUGCAAAUCAGGAGCUUAAUCAAGGAUGUGCAGCACUAAAGGGCAUUGUUCUUUCACUGCUUACUUUCUGUGGAGUAAGUGCCAGCCACCAGAAAGCUGUAUGUAGCUCUUGUUCAGUGCGAUGCAAAGGCAGGGUAGGUAUAAAUGUGUUCUGAGCGUUGUAAGAUACUGCUAUACAGCAGCGCUUUGCGUGGCACUGCAAAUGUUAACUGGGUACAGAGCUGCUGUUAGCACUGGCAGAGCACCUGCGGAGGGGCUUAUCAUGUUGGGUGUGAAUGCAGACUUAGAAUGUUUGAAACAUAAAGCCGAGCUCCAGAGUUGUUUGGGAUCCCUGCGCAGACAUAGAAGUUGUGAACUAAAUUGGGGAUGGUUACAAGGUGCCUUGGCCGGGAUCUCAGAAGAGCUGAAUGUGUGUGUGCUUCUCUGUUUAAGACCAGGAUUAAUACAGUGCGGACUCUAAUUUGGAUUCCAGGAAUGAAGUUCAAGAAUCUAUCCUUGCGCAGCCAGGAGGGCUAUCUGAGGCAAAAGUGAAAUUGAUUUUGGUUUAAAAGGGCUGUAAAGAAAGAUAGGAGUAAAUAUGGAGAAAAAUAAUCUAAAAUUGAUUAGAAAGGAGCCAUUACCCAGCAGGCAGUAAACCACUGAAGAUAGGCCAUUGAAUAACCAUGAAAAGAAAAUGAGACUGCUCUGGUAUAUACAAAUAAGAAUCAGAACAUUGCACUCCUGCAAUGGUAUUUUUUGCUUCGGUCCAUGUGUCACUCUUUUGUGGUUUAAGGUUAGAAACUGCUGUGAAAGACUAGAGAUGUGCCCCAUAACUUGGAAUAAACUCUGGAUCAGGAUCGGUAACUAUCAGAGGGAUUUAUAGCAAAGUUCAGCCUAGAAAUGCAGCAGUGGGGACAUAUUCUGGGAGCAAAGUGCAAGCAGGACUUGUGUGUCAAAUUACAUCACAGAUACCAAACUGAAGGAAAAAAGGUGGAUUUCAUUCUUGAUGCUGGCGUGGAAAAGGAAAAUCUGGCUGUAUAUUUGCAAUGUCUGGAACAUGAAACAGUGGCAGUGGUUUUAAUUACAUAGAUGGGACUUACUGAAUAUAUCCAUUUGGAGACUGAGAUUCCCAAUGAAUGGCUGUAUCACAGACAUCAAGUUACCAUAUAAAUUUCAACUACAUUUUUACAACCUUACAGUGGACUUUGCACAUUUAGUGAUGUGGUCUGGGCAUUUCUACUUCUAGUUCUCUGCUCAGCCCAGAUUUGAUGCUGUAUAUAAGGCAUAUCUAACAAGUUAAUGAGAAAAUAAAAUGAUUCAUUCCGCUUUGUCCUUGGGAAUUUAUAGAAGGAAUUUAUAUAUAUUUUACCAAAUAUACCUGUGAACUCCUUAGGCGUAUGGAUUAGUUCCAAGUCAGUGAAAUAACUAAUGUCUCACCAAGCUAUAUAUGAGACAAUUAAGUAUUUUAAGAGUAAGAGCCUAACUGCUAGUUCAAUCAUUCAACUUGGUAAGAGUUCAGAUUUAGAAUAUCAUGUGCAAUCUUCAAUAUCAUUCACAGAAUUCUGGAUGGGAAUUGCUUUUAAGAUAGUCCUCAUAACAACCAGGACAUUAAGUUUAAUCUUGCACCCAGCUGUAAUAAUAUCUACAUUUCAAAUAACUACAUUAAUGUCAACUGUUGCAUAAGUAAAUUAUAUAUCAGAUCUGCAAUGCCAUAUAAAAUCACUUGUUUUUUUGAGAUAGAGGUUUAGGAAAACCAAUGCUUGAGAUACUGCCUCCCUGCCCCAAGGGGUGGGUACGGCUCAGUGUUAGUUUGGACCCUGGCUGGUUAGAUGGUGACCUAAGAGGCAGUAACCACAAAGGGACCAAAAGUCAAGGUUUUUUACAGGCCUCUUAAAUAGACCUUCCUGUAACACUGUGGUGUGGUGCCUUAGGUGUUGUAAGUGGUCUACAUGAGAGUAAGUAAGAUAUAUAAAGCUGUGACUUCAGUCUUAAGAAAAGCGCAUUCUCUAUCAGAACAAGUGAAGGACUGAACUUCUCUCAGACACUGGUGACCUCCAUAGCAUUCAUGCUGCUGCUUUAUAGACAUGCGCCAUAGGUGCCUGCAUUGUAAUAAUUAAGCAAUGAGUAUCUGAAUGUGCAAUUAUAAACCUAUAUUCAUAGCUGUUGUUUGUCU